This 74-nucleotide transfer RNA is filed under the name Nocardia huaxiensis. It matches the Rfam family "tRNA". From Rfam's summary of the family: Transfer RNA (tRNA) molecules are approximately 80 nucleotides in length. The record is from Rfam by way of RNAcentral. Lineage: Bacteria; Bacillati; Actinomycetota; Actinomycetes; Mycobacteriales; Nocardiaceae.
AGCGGUGUGGCGCAGUCAGGAAGCGCAGUGGGCUCAUAAUCCACGGGUCGUCGGUUCGAAUCCGACCACCGCCA